Long non-coding RNA from Junco hyemalis (dark-eyed junco), 304 nucleotides. The record is from Ensembl. Lineage: Eukaryota; Metazoa; Chordata; Aves; Passeriformes; Passerellidae.
CGCGGCGCCGCUCGCCGCCGCCUCCCGCUCCGCCGCCUGGGCCGGGCGGCGCGGCCGCUGCGCUGCGGGAGCUGCCCCGGAGCGGCGCGGGGCUCGUCGGCCGGAAGGUGAGCGAGGAGGCAGCGCGACGGGAGCGGGGAGGGCUGCUGCCGGUGUGUGCCGAUAUCUGCGGAUCAGGACCAAUUGAUUGGCAAUGCUGCACCCUUUUCUUCAUCCUAAAGUGCUCCUUGGAUGCUAACUGGCAGUUUUGGCUUCAGAAGGAUUACAAGACUGGGUCAGUAUUGUAUAUGGGUGAUUGAGUGUU